UGCAUAUCCAUAAGCGGAGGAAAAGAAACUAACAAGGAUUCCCUUAGUAGCGGCGAGUGAAGCGGCAAUAGCUCAAAUUUGAAAUCUGGCACCUUCGGUGUCCGAGUUGUAAUUUGAAGAAGGUAUCUUUGGUUUUGGCUCUUGUCUAUGUUCCUUGGAACAGGACGUCACAGAGGGUGAGAAUCCCGUGCGAUGAGAUGCCCAAUUCCAUGUAAAGUUCCUUCGACGAGUCGAGUUGUUUGGGAAUGCAGCUCUAAGUGGGUGGUAAAUUCCAUCUAAAGCUAAAUAUUGGCGAGAGACCGAUAGCGAACAAGUACUGUGAAGGAAAGAUGAAAAGAACUUUGAAAAGAGAGUGAAAAAGUACGUGAAAUUGUUGAAAGGGAAGGGCUUGAGAUUAGACUUGGAAUUUUCCAUUUAUGGAGCUUUCCGGGCCAGCAUCAGUUUGGAUGGCAGGAUAAUUGCGUUGGAAAGUAGCACCACUUCGGUGGUGUGUUAUAGACUUCGUCGAUACUGCCUAUCUAGACUGAGGACCGCGUCUUUGACUAGGAUGCUGGCGUAAUGAUCUUAAGCCGCCCGUCUUGAACCGCGGGACCA
This 594-nucleotide ribosomal RNA is filed under the name Yamadazyma sp. Its description in RNAcentral is "partial large subunit ribosomal RNA". It matches the Rfam family "Eukaryotic large subunit ribosomal RNA", at positions 37 to 664 of the family's 3401-position model. Lineage: Eukaryota; Fungi; Ascomycota; Pichiomycetes; Serinales; Debaryomycetaceae. The record is from RNAcentral.